This is a long non-coding RNA of Armigeres subalbatus, 514 nucleotides long. RefSeq lists it as uncharacterized. Lineage: Eukaryota; Metazoa; Arthropoda; Insecta; Diptera; Culicidae. The transcript is spliced from 3 exons. The record is from RefSeq and is a predicted model, not a curated record.
CGGUUAACUGCCAAGCAGGCAUACGCGCGAGUGCUCAAGCAAGUUGUAUUUUUGUGAUUGAUUGCCUGACCGACGGGAAUAGAUCAAAACGAAGUGCAGUGCAGUGGGUGUUGAUUAUGGCUUAGGGCCAGUUAUGGAAGCCUGCAGCUGGUUAGCCCAUAUUUGGUAUCUGCACCGAGAAGCAACAGUGAUGGAGUAGAGUUUAGAUUUGCUUAGAGAUCGGCCUUUCAUUCGCUGCAAAAAUUAUGUAGCGGCUUGUGAGAGCAACAUCCCAAGACGACGGCGAAUUGAAGUGGCUGGCUUGGAUCGCUGGCAGAGGCCAGCAAUCAUCUUGGGUCUGUCCGGACAGACAUGACGGUUUGCAGUCGCCGAGGGAUACAUUUUUACACUGACACACACACAUACUAAACUUAAGGUUAAGGAAAUUAAGCGUAAGUACUAAAAUACAUUUUUAUUGCAUGUAAAAUUUAUGUUUUUACUUCGAUACGGUGAUUCCGAAUAGUGUUAUUUUUUU